RNAcentral lists this ribosomal RNA (464 nucleotides) under uncultured bacterium. RNAcentral describes it as "partial 16S ribosomal RNA". It matches the Rfam family "Bacterial small subunit ribosomal RNA", at positions 339 to 795 of the family's 1533-position model. The record is from RNAcentral.
CUACGGGGCGCUGCAGUGGGGAAUAUUGGACAAUGGGGGAAACCCUGAUCCAGCAAUGCCGCGUGUGUGAAGAAGGCCUUAGGGUUGUAAAGCACUUUCAGUAGUGAGGAAAAGUUUAAGGCUAAUACCCUUGAACCCUGACGUUAACUACAGAAGAAGCACCGGCUAACUUCGUGCCAGCAGCCGCGGUAAUACGAAGGGUGCAAGCGUUAAUCGGAUUUACUGGGCGUAAAGCGCGCGUAGGCGGUUUGAUAAGUCGGAUGUGAAAGCCCCGGGCUCAACCUGGGAAUUGCAUUCGAUACUGUCAGGCUAGAGUAUGGUAGAGGGAAGUGGAAUUCCACAUGUAGCGGUGAAAUGCGUAGAUAUGUGGAGGAACACCAGUGGCGAAGGCGACUUCCUGGCCCAAUACUGACGCUGAGGUGCGAAAGCGUGGGGAGCAAACAGGAUUAGAUACCCCUGUAGUC